Molecule: ribosomal RNA, 468 nt
Filed under: uncultured bacterium
Lineage: Bacteria
Description: partial 16S ribosomal RNA
Rfam family: Bacterial small subunit ribosomal RNA
Source: RNAcentral
GACGAACGCUGGCGGCGUGCUUAACACAUGCAAGUCGAACGGAAAGGCCCUGCUUUUGUGGGGUGCUCGAGUGGCGAACGGGUGAGUAACACGUGAGUAACCUGCCCUUGACUUUGGGAUAACUUCAGGAAACUGGGGCUAAUACCGGAUAGGAGCUCCUGCUGCAUGGUGGGGGUUGGAAAGUUUCGGCGGUUGGGGAUGGACUCGCGGCUUAUCAGCUUGUUGGUGGGGUAGUGGCUUACCAAGGCUUUGACGGGUAGCCGGCCUGGGAGGGUGACCGGCCACAUUGGGACUGAGAGACGGCCCAGACUCCUACGGGAGGCAGCAGUGGGGAAUAUUGCACAAUGGGCGGAAGCCUGAUGCAGCAACGCCGCGUGCGGGAUGACGGCCUUCGGGUUGUAAACCGCUUUCGCCUGUGACGAAGCGUGAGUGACGGUAAUGGGUAAAGAAGCACCGGCUAACUACGUG